UAUUGAACGCUGGCGGCAGGCCUAACACAUGCAAGUCGAACGGUAACAGGAAACAGCUUGCUGUUUCGCUGACGAGUGGCGGACGGGUGAGUAAUGUCUGGGAAACUGCCUGAUGGAGGGGGAUAACUACUGGAAACGGUAGCUAAUACCGCAUAACGUCGCAAGACCAAAGAGGGGGACCUUCGGGCCUCUUGCCAUCGGAUGUGCCCAGAUGGGAUUAGCUAGUAGGUGGGGUAACGGCUCACCUAGGCGACGAUCCCUAGCUGGUCUGAGAGGAUGACCAGCCACACUGGAACUGAGACACGGUCCAGACUCCUACGGGAGGCAGCAGUGGGGAAUAUUGCACAAUGGGCGCAAGCCUGAUGCAGCCAUGCCGCGUGUAUGAAGAAGGCCUUCGGGUUGUAAAGUACUUUCAGCGGGGAGGAAGGGAGUAAAGUUAAUACCUUUGCUCAUUGACGUUACCCGCAGAAGAAGCACCGGCUAACUCCGUGCCAGCAGCCGCGGUAAUACGGAGGGUGCAAGCGUUAAUCGGAAUUACUGGGCGUAAAGCGCACGCAGGCGGUUUGUUAAGUCAGAUGUGAAAUCCCCGGGCUCAACCUGGGAACUGCAUCUGAUACUGGCAAGCUUGAGUCUCGUAGAGGGGGGUAGAAUUCCAGGUGUAGCGGUGAAAUGCGUAGAGAUCUGGAGGAAUACCGGUGGCGAAGGCGGCCCCCUGGACGAAGACUGACGCUCAGGUGGGAAAGCGUGGGGGAGCAAACAGGAUUAGAUACCCUGGUAGUUCACGCUGUAAACGAUGUCGACUUGGAGGUUGUGCCCUUGAGGCGUGGCUUCCGGAGCUAACGCGUUAAGUCGACCGCCUGGGGAGUACGGCCGCAAGGUUAAAACUCAAAUGAAUUGACGGGGGCCCGCACAAGCGGUGGAGCAUGUGGUUUAAUUCGAUGCAACGCGAAGAACCUUACCUGGUCUUGACAUCCACGGAAGUUUUCAGAGAUGAGAAUGUGCCUUCGGGAACCGUGAGACAGGUGCUGCAUGGCUGUCGUCAGCUCGUGUUGUGAAAUGUUGGGUUAAGUCCCGCAACGAGCGCAACCCUUAUCCUUUGUUGCCAGCGGUCCGGCCGGGAACUCAAAGGAGACUGCCAGUGAUAAACUGGAGGAAGGUGGGGAUGACGUCAAGUCAUCAUGGCCCUUACGACCAGGGCUACACACGUGCUACAAUGGCGCAUACAAAGAGAAGCGACCUCGCGAGAGCAAGCGGACCUCAUAAAGUGCGUCGUAGUCCGGAUUGGAGUCUGCAACUCGACUCCAUGAAGUCGGAAUCGCUAGUAAUCGUGGAUCAGAAUGCCACGGUGAAUACGUUCCCGGGCCUUGUACACACCGCCCGUCACACCAUGGGAGUGGGUUGCAAAAGAAGUAGGUAGCUUAACCUUCGGGAGGGCGCUUACCACUUUGUGAUUCA
Molecule: ribosomal RNA, 1455 nt
Filed under: uncultured organism
Description: SSU rRNA
Rfam family: Bacterial small subunit ribosomal RNA
Source: RNAcentral